This 69-nucleotide transfer RNA is filed under the name unidentified. RNAcentral describes it as "Paradorydium reflexana tRNA-Phe". The record is from RNAcentral.
GUAUCUGUAGCUUAAGAAUUGGAGAGUACACCAUUGAAGCUGGUGAGGAAAUAAAUUUAUUCAGUUACA